GAGAAAUAUCCCAACACACCCAUGAGCCAUAAGGAGAUCCUUCAGGUUAUCCAGAAGGAAGGACUCAAGGAGAUCAGAAGUGGGACGUCCCCCCUGGCCUGCCUGAAUGCCAUGUUACACACCAACUCCCGCGGGGAGGAGGGCAUCUUCUACAAGGUGCCGGGACGGAUGGGAGUCUACACCCUCAAG
Long non-coding RNA from Manacus vitellinus (golden-collared manakin), 189 nucleotides. RefSeq lists it as uncharacterized. NCBI's taxonomy places the organism in Eukaryota, Metazoa, Chordata, Aves, Passeriformes, Pipridae. The record is from RefSeq and is a predicted model, not a curated record. The transcript is spliced from 3 exons.